AUAAGUCUUAUGAUUAUGGUUGAUAAUUAAGACAGAGCAAGGAUAUAGAAAUCCUAGUCUUUGGCCAGCAGCAUUGUACCUAAUAUAAGUCUCUGUGUAAUAUUUGGGGCCCUAACGUGGCAGAUGGAACUUGGGCAGAACUCGGGCAGCUGGCAGAAAGAUUUAUCAUUACAGGUGGUAGCUGUUUCUUCUUCUUCUUCUUCUUCUUCUUCUUCUUCUUCUUCUUCUUCUUCUUCUUCCUCCUCCUCCUCCUCCUCCUCCUCCUCCUCCUCCUCCUCCUCCUCCUCCUCCUCUUCCUAGAGACAGGGUCUUACUAUGUAGAAUUGGCUGGCUUGGAGCUCACUAUGUAAACCAGACUGGCCUUGAACACACAGAGAUCCACCUAUCUCUGCCUCCAGAGGGCUGAUAUUAAAGGUGUGCACUAUCACACCUAGCAAUAUGUUUGGCUUCUUUAAUACUGCCUUGUUUUAUCAUGUAAAUUAUAUAUAAAAAGAAUAUACAAUUUAAACUUUUCCCCUCCCCUCCAAUUUAAACUAUUUUAGUAGAUAUUUUAUUUAUUUAUUUAUUGUUUUGGUUUUUUCAAGACAGGGUUUCUUUGUGUAGCUUUGGAGCCUAUCCUGGCACUCGCUUUGGAGACCAGGCUGGCUUCGAACUCUCAGAGAUCCGCCUGUCUCUGCCUCCCAAGUGCUGGGAUUAAAGGCGUGAGACACCAAUGCCAGGUUUUAGUAGAUAUUUUAAAUACAGCUUUAAGCACACUCACCUCUUGUGCAACCAUUAUCAUUGAAUACCCCACAGGGAAUAUUGCUCUAAAGACUACAUGCCUGUAGAUCAUAAGAAUGGACCCUUUUUUGUUGGGCCCAUUUCAUUUUAUGUGAUAUAUUUCAAGGCAAUAUUAUUGAUUUUUGUAGAUUUAUUCUAUUGCUUUUAUUGUUGUGGGAUUUUGUUUGUUUCUUUGUUUUUGAUGAUAAAUAUUAAAUAAAUAUAAAGUAUGUGCCAAGCACAUACUUCAAGCUGCACUGCCAGCCAUGUAGGUUGGUCUUUUACACAGCAACCUUUAUAUAAUAGCUUCCUCAUUGGUUAUAUGGUUUUUCUAGAAAGAGGAAUCAGUCUUAUGCAAAUAACAUUAAAUAUAUCAUUAUGCACUUAUGCUCCUCUCAUAUGUUUUCCUUUCCUGUUCUGUGGGCAGAAGUACCCAGUGCUGUGUGGAGCAGUAACUGUUGAUGUAUGUGGGGACUCUGGACCUGGCCCAGACUUUCAACAAAAUGCACUGAAUUCAGUGUUAGUGUGAUAUGGGGCUUAGUUUGUAAACUUUGCCAUGUUAGUAAACUUUUCUUCUGUCUCUGGUUUACUUAAAAUUUGCUCCACCUUCUUUUCUUUCUUUCUUUUUUUUGUGAGACAGGGUCUCUCUGUGUAGAUUUGUAGAGCAGGCUGGCCUCCAACUCACAGAAAUCUGCCUGCCUCUGCCUCCCAAGUGCUGUGAUCAAAGGCAUGAGCCACCACCGCCCAGCUCUCCACCUCCUUUUUUUAGGGCAGGAUCUCAUGUAGCACAUUUUGGCCUUGAACUCCUUAUUAAUCCUCUCUCCAUCUCCAGAGUGCUGGGAUCACAGUCUGUUAUCAUGCCUGGUUGUGCUGCUGGGGAUGAACAAAAUCCAGGGCUUUAUGUGUAUUAGGCAAGCACUCUACAAAUGGACUCACACCCCAGUCUUGUUCAAAAGUUAUUCAAAGCUGGUUGUUGGUGGCACACACCUAUAAUCCGAGCACUUGGGAGGCAGAGAGAGGCAGAUCUCUGUGAGUUCCAGGCCAGCCUGGUCUACAGAGCAAGUUUCAGGGCAGGUUCCAAAACAAUACAGAGAAACCUUGUCUCAAAAAACAAACAAACAAACAAACAAAAAACCAAAAACAAAAGUUAUUCAAAACUUUCUUUUGAAAUUUAUUUUUACUUUUGUGUGUCUGUGUGUUGGUAUGUGCAUGUGAAUGCUGGUACCUUCAGAGGCCAGAGGAGUUGGAUGUCCCUGGGCUGAAGUUGCAGAGAGUUGUGAGCUGUUCAAUAUAGCUGCUGGGAAUCAAACUUUGGUCCUCUGCAAAAGUAAUAUACACUUUUAACCACCGAGCCAUCUCUCUAGUCCCUAUUCAAAUCUUUUUCUGCAUCAAUUGAGAUAAUCACAGUUUCUCCAUUAAGUCAUUGAGACACUCUUUCAUUCUGUACUGGCUGGUUUUAUAUGUCAAUUUGACACAAGUUAGAGUCAUUAGAGAGGAAGAAGCCUCAGUGGAAGAAAGGCCUCAAUGAGAUCCAGCUAUAAGACAUUUUUUCAGUUAGUGAUCAUUGAGGGAGGGCCUAGCCCAUGGUGGGUAAUGCCAUCCCUGGGCAGGUGGUCCUGGGUUCCAUAAGAAGGUGGGCUAAGUGGCCAGAGGAAGCAAGCAAGUAAGCAGCUCCCCUCCAUGGCUUCUACAUCAGCUCCUGCCUCCAGGAUCCUGCCCUGUUUGAGUUCCUGUCCUGACUUCCUUCAUUGAUGAACAGCAGUGCUAAAGUAUAAGCCUAAUAAACAAUUUCCUCCCCAACUUGCUUUUGGGUCAUGGUGUUUCAUCAUAGCAAUCGAAACCCUAACUAAGUCAUAUUCCUAGGACACAACCCAUUUUCUCAUAGUGAUUUAUUUUCUAAACAUUGGUGAAAUAAAUUCUAGAGUAACUUCCUUUCAGUCCAGAGGGUGCAGCAGGUAACUUGGUCCUUCUUGACAUCAAUUAUCAUGAAACCCUGGGAACUUAAGGGGCUAUUGAAGUGUAAACUGCAUAGUGACCAUGGGAGUUACUAUUUGCAAAGCGAGAGUUCUGUUGACUCUUUAAAUUAGCUCAGCCUAUAAAGGCACCUGCAGCCCAAACCUGAGGACCUGAGUUCAAUCCCGGGGCCCACAUGAUAGAAGGAGACACCUGACUCCUGAAUAGUGUCAUCUGACAUCCAUGAGUGUUGUGGUACACACACACACACACACACACACACACACACACACACACACACACACACUGCACACACUACACACACAUGUACAUACACAUAUAAAUAAAUAAAAGGCAAUAUUUUAAAAUGCUGCCAGAUGGUGGUGGUGCAUGCCUUUAAUCCCAGCACUUAGGAGGCAGAGGCAGGCAGAUCUCUUGAGUUUGAGCCCUGGUCUACAGAGUGAGUUCCAGGACAGACAGGGCUAACAGAGAAACUCUGUCUCAAAAAACCAAUAAAAUAAAAUAAAAUAAAAUAAAAUAAUUAAUAAAAUGCUUAUAUUAACUGGGCAUGGUAGCACACACUACAUAGUGAGUUCCAAGACAACCAGAGCUACAUAGUAAGAUCCCAUCUCAAACACACAAACCAACAGCUUACAUCAAUCUCAGGAAUGAGAAUCUGGGUGUGUGAAGAAAGGUAGCAUUUCAGAAAAACAAUCAUUGCACAGGGGAAAGGGACAUAGCUCCAGCAGAAAACAUGAAGAAAACUCUGUUUAUGUGAUCCAUAAAAUAUCUAAAGAAUUUAAGUAUUUUAGGAUCUGGAGGCUCACCAGUAUUUCCUGCCUGGUAAAUACCUCUAGGAAGCUCGACUCUGAGACUUUGGCACCAAUAGUUAGAACUAGUAUGAAGCAGCUGCAAGCUUAAUUUUGGGGAAAAAAUUACUUCCUGAUGCCCAUGUACUACCAUGGCAGACAGAUAAAAAGUAUAAACCAAAUGGAAUGGAUAUAUGCUACCACCCAAUUCACAACUUUGUAUUUUCUUUCUGAUGAGUGCUGUGCUACAUAUAGCCUGAGCUCUGGGGGAGGAAAGGACAGAGAGGGGCCUAUCCCUGCCCUAAAUACCAUUUGAAGCUGGCUGCUAAUGCCAGAAGCAGGGCGAGCAAGUACCAGUCUGGGGAGAAGGCAUCUGUGGGGAAGUCAUACCUUGUAAAAGAGCUAGGAUAAGAUCUGGGAGGAUGAGCUGCCCAGCUUUGAAAAGAACAGGGCAGUCAGGGCAGCAACCAGAGUUCUAGAGAAGCUGUGCUGCUCUGGGGGAAUGUCUGAGAGUGGUGUAGCUAGCAGGGUUAGGUCAGAGAAGACCAGAGUGAUGGAGGAUGUCUUUCUUUAUGCUGUGAAUGUAUGUUUCUCUUAUUGGUUGACGAAUAAAACUGUUUCAGCCAGUGGACAGGCAGGAUGUAGCCAGGCAGGAAGUAUAGGUAGGGUUACCAGACUAGAAGAAUUCUUGGGAGAGGAAUGCAGAGAGUGAGUCAUAAAAGAGACACCAUGUAGCUACCAGGAAGGUAGGAUGCCCAAGCAUGUCUCAAAAACAGUAAGCCAAUACCAUGUGGAGAUACACAGAUUAGUAGAAAUGGGUUAAUAAUUAAAAGAGAGCUACCCAAUAAGAAGCCUGAGCAAUAGGCCAAACAGUUUGUAAUUAAUAUAAGGCCCUGUGUGUUUAUUUGGAACUAAAUGGCUGUGGGACUGGGCAGGACAGAAACUUCUGUCGACAUUUGGCACCCAAUGUGGGGAACAAACCAUGACCCUGAGAUUAAGAGCCUCAUUCUCUACCAACUGAGUUAGCCAGGCUUGAGCCCAGCAUAGCAUAUUCCUGCCUCGGUUCACAGAGGCUGUCUCCAAGCUGCACAGCAUGCUGCAUAGCAGAUUUAGCUAUUAUUCAUACAGAUAAAAAAGGUUUAUGAGCAGUGUGCUACAAACUGCUUGAUGGCAGCAUAGACCAGAGUUGAGGCAGUGAGCACAGCUACCAAAGCUUUCAGUAAAGGUACCCCCACCAAGUUGAAAAGCCUAACUGGGUGGAGCCAACAUCCAAAACCUUUGCUUUAAUCCUAGCCAUGCAGUUUAGCAGAAUAAAGACUCAUAUGGUCAGCCAAAGAUAGAGAUAUACAAUAAAGACAGAUUCAGACUAAGAAAAACCUCUAAACAGUUUUACAGUGUGUUUAAAACCUAUGUAGGCUGGAAUAGAAAAGAAAAAGGAUAAAGUCCUUAAAAAAGAAAUAGAUUAGCUGGGUAUAGUGGCACAUGCCUUUCAUCCCAGCACUCAGGAGGCAGAGGCAUGCAGAUCUGUGAUUUCAAGGCCAGCCUGGUUUACAGAGUGAGUUCCAGGAUACACUGAGAAACCCUGUCUCAAAAGAACAAAAAAAUAAAAAAUAAAAAUGAAAGAAUUAGAGUAAUAAAAAAGCCACAUAAAGAUGGAAAAUACACAGAGAGUCUGGAUACUGUAUGUUAUUAUGUUGUCUUUGAAUUGUUUGACUACUGAGGUAGGAGCAACAGGUGCUAAAAGACAUUUGAUCAUAAAUGCUGCUGGAUUAAUCCAACCUACAUAUUUUGAAAAUGCCUUGACUUCAAAUUUUAUAUCUAAGGACAUGUUACUUUGUAGAACAGGUUCUGAUUUUGUUUCCACAGAAGAUGAAAAGCCGUGGAUUCCUUCUAGGCUAAUAUGGCGUGAUCAAACAAGAUCUCCUGAAGCAGUGUCCCAUGUGAUCCAACAUCCAAAACAGCUGAGAUGAUGUUUGGCCACGGUUCUGGGUUUUUUCUGGAUCCCCAUGGGAUUGAUAGUGCCCUCAAACAGCAGGGAGCAGUUUGGAGAAAACUACACCCAAAUUUCCAAAUAUUGUUUAUAAAUUUUUUUUUCAUUUAAACAGGGUUGGUUAUAAAUGGUUAAUGAAAACAGUCAAUCUCUUUCUAAAGAAAAAAAAUGGGAAUUGAUAUAGAAAUGAAUACUUUGCACUGGUAUGAAUUUUGGUUUAUUGAUAUAAUUUUUUUUUUUUUGGUUUUUUGAGACAUGGUUUCUCUGUGUAGCUUUGGAACCUAUCCUGGCACUCGCUCUGGAGACCAGGCUGGCCUCGAACUCACAGAGAUCCACCUGCCUCUGCCUCCCGAGUUCUGGGAUUAAAGUGAGAUACAACUGCUCCUGGAAACACCAAUUACAUCAGAGAGGAAGAUGGGCAUCAAAGAAACUUGUUAUGGAGUUUGCCUUCAACCUGGUUGGGAUAGCUAUUUGGAUAAGAAACUGCUUUUGUUUGGACUGUUUGACAGCACGCUGUCCAAACUGGACAAGCCGGUUACAAAGGAAAAUGACUGCUGAACUUGCCAAAGGACAGGAUGGUCCUUCAAGGUUCCUGCUUCAUCAAAAACUCUGCCAAACAUUCUGGGCCUAUAGGCUGAAGAGGGAUGCCCCAAUGUUACAGAGGAACUUUGAGUGACUGUCCAGGCAGUGAGAUGUCUCUGUCAAUAUUCUACAGUUUAUAUAUUAUCCUUCUGAGGUCUUUGAUGGAGAUGAAGACAUUUAGUUAUGGUUAUGGUUUUCCUUAGCUAUGAUAAAAGAUAAGUUACAUACAAAACUUUAGUCUCACAAUGAUAAGAUAGAUG
RNAcentral lists this long non-coding RNA (6353 nucleotides) under Cricetulus griseus (Chinese hamster). RNAcentral describes it as "lncRNA (ENSCGRG00015042033.1)". Lineage: Eukaryota; Metazoa; Chordata; Mammalia; Rodentia; Cricetidae. The record is from RNAcentral.